GAUGAACGCUGGCGGCGUGCCUAAUACAUGCCAGUCGAGCGAACGGACGAGAAGCUUGCUUCUCUGAUGUUAGCGGCGGACGGGUGAGUAACACGUGGAUAACCUACCUAUAAGACGGGGAUAACUUCGGGAAACCGUAGCUAAUACCGGAUAAUAUUUUGAACCGCAUGGUUCAAAAGUGAAAGACGGUCUUGCUGUCACUUAUAGAUGGAUCCGCGCUGCAUUAGCUAGUUGGUAAGGUAACGGCUUACCAAGGCAACGAUGCAUAGCCGACCUGAGAGGGUGGUCGGCCACACGGGAGCUGAGACACGGUCCAGACUCCUACGGGAGGCAGCAGUAGGGAAUCGUCCGCAGUGGGCGAAAGCCUGACGGAGCAACGCCGCGUGAGUUAUGAAGGUCUUCGGAUCGUAAAACUCUGUUAUUAGGGAAGAACAUAUGUGUAAGUAACUGUGCACAUCUUGACGGUACCUAAUCAGAAAGCCACGGCUAACUACGUG
RNAcentral lists this ribosomal RNA (497 nucleotides) under uncultured bacterium. RNAcentral describes it as "partial 16S ribosomal RNA". It matches the Rfam family "Bacterial small subunit ribosomal RNA", at positions 28 to 507 of the family's 1533-position model. The record is from RNAcentral.